Molecule: non-coding RNA, 234 nt
Filed under: Schistosoma margrebowiei
Lineage: Eukaryota; Metazoa; Platyhelminthes; Trematoda; Strigeidida; Schistosomatidae
Source: RNAcentral
GCACUGCUGAAGAGUCCCACAAUGUGAUGAAACGGCCUUCCAGUGCUUCCAGGUUUUCCAUGGUGGUCUAGCUUCAACUGAUUGAUGAUCNUAGACAUUAACAUUGUUGAAUGCCAGUAGGCUCAGUGGUAUAGAGGCCAAACGUUCACACGCGAGAUCGAUAUGUUCUGAGUUCGAAUUUCGCAGAGGGCGAGGUCGUGGAUGCCACAAUAGGACGAAACGGCCAUCCAGUGC